CAGAGUGACCCUGGAGCUUACAAGGCCGCCAAAGACCUCUCUUCUACCCUCCGCCCCACUUCUUUUCCUCCUUUUAAGCUUCCUCAGUGGGCAGGUUUGGAGCUGGUACUAGAGCUUGCUAAGAGCCUUUUCCUGCCGACCUUUCUGCAAGUUAGGCGGCUUUUUUAAAAAAAUACUUCAAAGCCAGACUUCCUCCAUUGGAAAUGCUGUAGGUCCUAGAGAACAUGAUGGAGUGGGGGCAUGUUCUUGAUUUCUGUGACAAGCAAGAGACAUGUCCCCUUACUUAAUAUGAUAAGAUGGGUGUGGAGGUACUAGAGUAUUCCUUUAAAACAUUUUCCUCCAACCUGGUGCCCUCCAGUUGUUUUGCUAUGCAACCUCCACCAUCUCUGACCAUGAACCAUGCUUGCUGGGGCUGAUGGGAAACACAGUUCCAAACAUCUGGAGGGAGUCUGGUUGGGAAAGGCUGCUUAAAUCUUUAAAAGCCUAUUCAAUUUGAUAAUUUGAGGGCUGCCCUGCCCAUUCAUUUAAACUCUGUCUUCUCUCUUUCUCUUCCCAUCCCUGUCUUUGGAAAAUGUGUUGGGGGGGGGGGAUUGUAGAGUCUGACUAAACUGCUGCCAUCUCUGUACAAUACAGAAGACAGAUUUCUUUUAUUCCCUUGUGUUCUGGAGAAAUGAUAUGCUGGAACAAGACAGCCAAAAGAAAUGGAAGGGAGAGAAGAGUACUGUGUCAAAACUGUCAGGCUUCAGUCUUGUGACAGAGGGAGGAAGGCUCCCUUAGUUGGGAUUAUUUUAAAAGUAGAAAUGUGCACUCUUUUUUCCUUGAUUGGUUCUUAACUGAUGAGUUGUUUAAGUUUGACCAGUUUGGAGAAAAAUGAUUUUUCUUAUUAAAGUACAGUAAUGUUUCAAUGUUGGACAUGUAUACUCAGUUGUAAGCAUGGCUGGCUUACUAAUGUUGUAUUUGAGUGAACUCAGGAUUGAUCAGGUUGUCUUCAUAUUCUCAUAUGUACUUUUAUGAAGAGCGCUACUUAACUCUUACUUAAUUUGAUAUAGGUUAUUAAGAUACUACCUCUAAAACACAUUUGCAUUUGGAUUUACUUAUUUUUCUCUAUAGUUCAAAGGUAUGUAUUAAAGUUGUGGCUUUUGCUGUGCACUGCUGCUGAAAGAAUAGGGUGUGGCCUGGAUGAAUGUUCUGAAAUUGCUUUAAUUACUGAGAUUGAAAAUAGGUAGCCCUUUCUACAAUCUCAUUACUUUAACAUUUAGAUGCUCAAUUGGUUUGAGUUUUCUGGUGUUAUGGAAAUAGGCUUGCAGAUAAUGGGUUCCAUGGUUGCUGUCUUAAUUGUUAGUGGAUUUAUUGCAAAUUUUAACAUGAUCAAUGAGAUGUGCGAGUUCCAUAGCAGAGUAGAUGGUAGCAACAUGUUCCAUACAUAUACCAAUUCUAGCAUUCUUUUUCUGUACAAACAGUCCCAAGGUAAUGAGUUCUGGUCUUGAGAAAACAGAAAUUUGUCUUUAAGUCAAAUUUGUAUAUAAGUUGGAUCACAUAUAGUUGGCUCUCUACAUUUGCAGGAUUUAGGGAUGUGGGAGUCCUGGGAAAGUGGCAAAACUGUAACAAGCUCUGCUAAACUCACCAGUGCCUCAUCUUGCAAUGAGGAAAUACCAGAAAGAUUUCCCUCUCCAGAUGAGUGAGGCAGACUUUGGAGGCCUCCCUUUUUUCCUUUUUGCAUCCUCUCUGUGAUGAAGCUUUGGAGGCCCUCCCUCUCUUCCCUUUUGCUUUUUCUCUUUCUAUGGUGAUAAUGAUUUUCUGCAGGUUUUUUUUAAUUAAUAGGCGUUAUGGAAGUUAGUUUGUAAGUACGUCUUUGCUGUAAUAUGGAUGUUUGGAUUGCCUGUAAUGAUAUUUGAUAGUUGUCUUGCAGUUCCAGGUCUGGGUGGCAUGCAACUGCACAAAAUUGGUAACAGGAAGUCUAGACAAGAAGUCUGUUUUUUCUAUUGAGCUUAGUUAAUAUUUAGGUAGAGAGCUGCAGUUCUGUUUAUGGUGAAACAAUUUGCCACACCCACAAUAUAUUAGUCUGCCUCUAACUAUGUUGUAUAAGUGUACAGAGGUAUAUGGACAAAUAUCUAAUGUCCUGGGACCAAGUUAAGCAGAUCUUUAACAUCAGUAAACAUUACAUGCACUAACAUUUUCUGUAAAAAAUUGGAACCAAACUUUUCCUUUCCCCCUCCCUACUGCAACCUCCCAUGUGUUCCUGAAAUCACUUCAAAGAAUUUCAUAACUCUCUGAAGGGAGAAUCCAUUUGAUUGACACACAUCAUUCAAUUUCUGGACAGUCAGCAUUGGACUUCACCUUAGCCUUCUCUCCUAUUUUCUCACAAUAGGCAAGAGUAGUGCACAAAAUUGAUCCAGUUUAUCACAUUUGAAACAUUUGUUGCCAUCUAUAUAUCUCAAAAUAAUUUUUGUUAUUGUUGGCAUUUCGAUAAAAAAGCAGCCUAACCAAAUUUGGUUAAUUGGCCAGCCAAAUUCUGUCUGCAUUCAUUUUUCAGAAUAGCAUCAUGGAAUAGUAUAAUGAUGACAAUGACAAAAGCUAUUGUCAUAUAGUAGACUCCAGAGUAUGCUUCAUCCCAGAAACAUGGUCCUGCCAGAUUAUGAGGGAUGCCCCUUGUUUCCAUAAAGGGUUUGUAGUAUUUGACUUGUAGGCACUUGUUACUUAGCAGGUGGUCAAUAGAAGCUAGGAUGAAUGUCAGUAGAGAAGUGGUUCUGGAGACCCUUGGAUAGUCAGCUUCCUACUAAUUAGAGUCAUAUGCAUGUGUAAUCCACUGUUAGGCUUUCCAUCUGGGAACCAAACCCCAAUUACAACUGUAGGCUAACCUUUAUGUAAAAGCAUACUUUACUUCAGGGGUGGGCAGGUGUUUCUCCUGGUGCUUUAGACCAGACUCUCAACAUUCAGACAAUUGGUCAUACUGACAAAGAUUCCUGGAAUGUUGAAAUCCACAACAUUUGGUGAUCUACCUUCCACCGACCCACCUUGCUUCUUUUCAUAGAAUAUGACUGUUGUCAAAUAAAAGAUCAUCAGCAGACCAAUGAACUAAGUGGUAUUUUCAGACCUAAAUUUUGUUCAUUAAUGUGUAGCAAAAGUAGAUUGCAUUUUUAAUUGCCCCUUUCCAAGCAAUUUAUUCAUGAAGUUUUGUAAAUAAAUCUGCUUAGGUUACUAAACUCUAAAACUUGGUGUAAUUGUUAUAAUAGUUUGCUGUUUGAUACAUGGACUUUUCUAAUUAAAUUCAAGGCACCAUAGAUGAUCCUGCAGUUUAUGUAAAAAUAACUUUUAAAGUUAAACAAAAACAAAACCAUCCAGAUAACCAGAGGUUAAAAAUACAAUUGCUGUAUUUGAGAACAUAACCAGUUUUUCAGGGUCAAAAUGCUAUGGUGGAAAAUACUCCAAAUAUACAAAUAGUUGUUGAAACUUCAAGAUAGAGCUGGACAUGGAUUUUUGUAGAAUUGGGCCAUUUAUAUUUGUAGUACUUUGUUUUACUACUACAUGCUAAUCAUACUUACAGUUUACGCAAUCAAAACAAACUACACUGGCUUAAAUAAUAGGCUUGUUGUGAGCUGCUAUGUAUGCUGGCACAGUGGGUGGGAUUUUCAUAAUCAUGCCUAUGGAGGGUCAUAUGGUCUGGGAUUUGGGUAGCAUGGCUUAUUGGAGGGUCAGAUCAUGGAGAUAUAUGGAAAUAAUUGAAAUUUUAUGCUUGUAAAAAUAGUGAUAAAUUUGGCUACUUUGCACACAUACAAACAAAUAGAUGCUUUUAUAACAUUAUGACUAAAACACAUUCUGGUAAAACAUUGACUAUGUAACAGGGUUAUUUGAAAUUUAACCCUCCAGUAAGCCAUACUUCCUAGACUCAGAUGACACAACAUGGGUCACCUGGGUGGUGGUAAUGUAAAUUGUAGUGAUAUACUAGGGGGGAACCCCCCCAAAAAAAGAACCCCAGGAAUUAUCUUCUGGAGGGUGGGCCCCUUGUACUACAGGCUUCCCCUGGUAAUUGAGUGUUCUGGAAACCCAUCUGCAUCAGUGUAGCCAGCUGGGUUGUUGUGAGAGGCUGUGUUUGGCUUCAGUGAGAUUGUUUCGGAGACUCUUUCAACAUGUUUGCCUAUUUCGUGAUAGCUGAUUUGCAUGGACAAUGUGAGGUGGUGAAAUUUUGUUCAGUGGAGUGUUCAGCACUUUUUGACCAAAAAUGGUAUUCCCCUCGUGCCCCAUCCUCUAUAUUCACCAGAUCUCACCUUGUGUGAUUUUUUUUUGUUUUCCUGGAUGAAAAAAGCCCCCAAAGAGAAAUGUUUUGCUGAUGUGGAAGAGGUGACACAAAAAAAGGCAGAAACGCUAAAAGGCAUCGAAAUCGAUGAGAUCAAAACCUGUUUUGAGCAGUGCGAAGAAUGUUUUGAGGUGUAUUGCAUCAAAUGGGGAGUACUUUGAAGCCUCCCGCAACCUUGUGCCCUGCAUGUUUCAGACUUCAAUAUACAACACUUCCUAACCAUUGGCCAUGCUGCCUGAGGUUCAUGGAAGCUGAAAUCCAAAGUAUCUGGAAGGCUCCUGGUUGUAGAAGAUUGUCCCAAAACAACAAAGUGACUUUAAAUUAAUAAACAAGUGUUUUGAAAAAAAGUAUUGCUUAUUUUUCAAUAUUUCUCCAAAUUUCUGUUUUUUACUCAGAGAAAAAUGUUUUUGUUUCAUGGUUUCAGUUUCUGGGAAUCUUACAGCUCUAGCUUUGAGCACUGGGUUUAUGCCUCUAGGAAAUAACAUUUGUGGAGUAGUAAAAUUGAACAGCUUCAUCAGUGCAACUUUACUUUUCUGUUUCGUUGAUAACAAAUUAUUUGCAUCUGGGUCAACAAUAGGACCUUAACAAAACUGUUUAAUCUUGAUGAUUUUUGAAAAACUGGAUCAUAGUUGUCUACGUUCAAUUAAGGUUGAUUUGUCUUGUUCUUUUUUAUGGUGAUCUUUUAACAUUUGAAUUCAUUCCAAAAGCUUUUUAAUUUGUUCUAUUUUCUCUCUCUUUUUCUUAGAUGCUAUUGCUAAAAAAGUAUCCUUUCAUAUAUGCUUUCCUAGCUUCCCAUAUUGUUGCUGUAGAAACAUCACUUGUAUUAUUUAAUCUAAAAAAAAUUCCAAUUAUUUUCAGACUUCAUCAAAAUAUCUCCUUGUAAUAAAAGUUUAUCAUUCAUUCUCCAUCUUCUUCC
Molecule: long non-coding RNA, 5210 nt
Organism: Varanus komodoensis (Komodo dragon)
Lineage: Eukaryota; Metazoa; Chordata; Lepidosauria; Squamata; Varanidae
Exons: 2
Source: RefSeq, a predicted model, not a curated record